GAUGAACGCUGGCGGCGUGCCUAAUACAUGCGAGUCGAGCGAACAGACGAGGAGCUUGCUCCUCUGACGUUAGCGGCGGACGGGUGAGUAACACGUGGAUAACCUACCUAUAAGACUGGGAUAACUUCGGGAAACCGGAGCUAAUACCGGAUAAUAUAUUGAACCGCAUGGUUCAAUAGUGAAAGACGGUUUUGCUGUCACUUAUAGAUGGAUCCGCGCCGCAUUAGCUAGUUGGUAAGGUAACGGCUUACCAAGGCAACGAUGCGUAGCCGACCUGAGAGGGUGAUCGGCCACACUGGAACUGAGACACGGUCCAGACUCCUACGGGAGGCAGCAGUAGGGAAUCUUCCGCAAUGGGCGAAAGCCUGACGGAGCAACGCCGCGUGAGUGAUGAAGGUCUUCGGAGCGUAAAACUCUGUUAUUAGGGAAGAACAAAUGUGUAAGUAACUAUGCACGUCUUGACGGUACCUAAUCAGAAAGCCACGGCUAACUACGUG
RNAcentral lists this ribosomal RNA (497 nucleotides) under uncultured bacterium. RNAcentral's name for it is "partial 16S ribosomal RNA". It matches the Rfam family "Bacterial small subunit ribosomal RNA", at positions 28 to 507 of the family's 1533-position model. The record is from RNAcentral.